CAGUCGCCACGGGAAUACGUAGGUGGCAAGCGUUGUCCGGAAUUAUUGGGCGUAAAGGGCUCGCAGGCGGUUUCUUAAGUCUGAUGUGAAAGCCCCCGGCUCAACCGGGGAGGGUCAUUGGAAACUGGGAAACUUGAGUGCAGAAGAGGAGAGUGGAAUUCCACGUGUAGCGGAGAAAUGCGUAGAGAUGUGGAGGAACACCAGUGGCGAAGGCGACUCUCUGGUCUGUAACUGACGCCGAGGAGCGAAAGCGUGGGGAGCGAACAGGAUUAGAUACCCGGGUAGUCCCUGUCUCUUAUAC
RNAcentral lists this ribosomal RNA (301 nucleotides) under uncultured bacterium. RNAcentral describes it as "partial 16S ribosomal RNA". It matches the Rfam family "Bacterial small subunit ribosomal RNA", at positions 509 to 807 of the family's 1533-position model. The record is from RNAcentral.